GAUGAACGCUGGCGGCGUGCUAACACAUGCAAGUCGAACGGUGAAGCAGGAGCUUGCUCUUGUGGAUCAGUGGCGAACGGGUGAGUAACACGUGAGCAACCUGCCCCUGACUCUGGGAUAAGCGCUGGAAACGGCGUCUAAUACUGGAUAUGUGAUGUGACCGCAUGGUCUGCAUCUGGAAAGAAUUUCGGUUGGGGAUGGGCUCGCGGCCUAUCAGCUUGGUGGUGAGGUAAUGGCUCACCAAGGCGUCGACGGGUAGCCGGCCUGAGAGGGUGACCGGCCACACUGGGACUGAGACACGGCCCAGACUCCUACGGGAGGCAGCAGUGGGGAAUAUUGCACAAUGGGCGGAAGCCUGAUGCAGCAACGCCGCGUGAGGGAUGACGGCCUUCGGGUUGUAAACCUCUUUUAGCAGGGAAGAAGCGAAAGUGACGGUACCUGCAGAAAAAGCACCGGCUAGCUACGUGCCAGCCGCCGCCGUAA
RNAcentral lists this ribosomal RNA (483 nucleotides) under uncultured bacterium. RNAcentral describes it as "partial 16S ribosomal RNA". It matches the Rfam family "Bacterial small subunit ribosomal RNA", at positions 28 to 523 of the family's 1533-position model. The record is from RNAcentral.